Acipenser ruthenus (sterlet) is the source of this 428-nucleotide long non-coding RNA. RefSeq lists it as uncharacterized. The transcript has 3 exons. The record is from RefSeq and is a predicted model, not a curated record. NCBI's taxonomy places the organism in Eukaryota, Metazoa, Chordata, Actinopteri, Acipenseriformes, Acipenseridae.
GUGACUACAAAUUUGUUUCUGCAACAUACCGCCUCUUUAAAGUCCCAAAGAGCUGUCCCAAGGAGAGGUCCCAGGUCAUUUACAAUGGCUCCAUCACCAACUCUGCAUUCAAAAUUCUAAAAGGAAGGAGAAGCGAUGGUGGUGGAUGGGGAUGCAGCAGCCAUUCUGAGGAGUUCCAGGUUUGCAGAUGACUUCAUGAUCCGCCCUGUAGAGGAAGGCGCAGCUGCAGAUGUUGGAUGUUGUCCUGCUAAACCAAAAGAAAUUAUUGUGAACCCAUUUGAGCUGGCAAAACACCUGGAACCUGCUGAUAUCAAACCAGCCACAGGAGGGUGCUGUGGACCAAAGCCUCUGGAUGCUCCCAAAUCAAGGACCAUCAUGGACCAGGAAUUCAAACCAGAGAAUUCUGUUCAGAUUACAGUGAUUGUCAA